GUGAGGAAUAUUGCGCAAUGGAGGCAACUCUGACGCAGCCAUGCCGCGUGCAGGAAGAAGGCGCUACGCGUUGUAAACUGCUUUUAACCGGGAAGAAACCCCAGGACGUGUCCUGGGUUGACGGUACCGGAGGAAUAAGCACCGGCUAACUUCGUGCCAGCAGCCGCGGUAAUACGAAGGGUGCAAGCGUUAUCCGGAUUCAUUGGGUUUAAAGGGUGCGUAGGCGGAGCGUUAAGUAAGUGGUGAAAUCCUGCAGCUUAACUGUAGACUUGCCAUUGAUACUGGCGCUCUUGAGUGCGCUUGAAGUGGGCGGAAUGUGCCGUGUAGCGGUGAAAUGCUUAGAUAUGGCACAGAACACCAAGUGCGAAGGCAGCUCACUAAGGCGAUACUGACGCUGAGGCACGAAAGCGUGGGGAUCGAACAGGAUUAGAAACCCCAGUAGUCC
RNAcentral lists this ribosomal RNA (445 nucleotides) under uncultured bacterium. RNAcentral's name for it is "partial 16S ribosomal RNA". It matches the Rfam family "Bacterial small subunit ribosomal RNA", at positions 354 to 796 of the family's 1533-position model. The record is from RNAcentral.